Long non-coding RNA from Spinacia oleracea (spinach), 3085 nucleotides. RefSeq lists it as uncharacterized. The record is from RefSeq and is a predicted model, not a curated record. The transcript has 5 exons. NCBI's taxonomy places the organism in Eukaryota, Viridiplantae, Streptophyta, Magnoliopsida, Caryophyllales, Amaranthaceae.
AGCUUACAGACAGUGUGUUUAUGGUUUUGCCCUUAUGCAUCCUUCAACCCUUACUCUGCUUCCUUCUCAUUUCGACGAUUGAUUUCUCACCUCUUCGAUUCCAUUUUCGAGCUAGCCCUAGGUCUCGUCACAAAGCCUUUCAUGGCAAGGUCAGUCUUCUUCUUGAUUCAUUCUUCUUCCCCUCUUCAAUUCUAAUUUAUUCGUUCUGAUUUUCUCAUAGCCCAAGUUCAUCGGCCUUGAUUUGCCGGAUGUCGCCAUGUAGAGGAGGGACAAGAAGAUCAUGGAGAUUUGCUCUAAUCUUCCUCAAAAUCAAUAAUCUGUAAGUUUUACCCUUUUCUGUAAAUCAGUAAUCACCAGUUAGAGUUUUUGUUUGUUCAAUCAACUCAUUUAGUUCCUCUUCGACAAUUUUGACAUCGAUUUUAUCCAAGUCACCUCAUUCGUUCAACUUCCAAGGAGUUUCUGGUACUUUCUUCUUAUCUCCCUCAAUUUAUGAUUUUUAAGAAUUUUCUAUGUAUUUAAAUUUCGAUUUUCUGGGUUUUGGUGUUUCAAAUUAGGGUUUAUAAUUUAGAUCGUCUAUCCUAUCCAACCUAUCUCAUUCGUUCGACUUCAAAGAAAUUUUAGGUAUUUUUCUUCUUAUCUUCCCUCAAGUCCUGAACUUUUUCAAAAUUUCUAGGUCUGUGUAUGUAAAUUUUGAUUUUUGGGGGGUUUUUGGUGCUUCAGAUUAGGGUUUAUAUUUCCGUUCAUGUAAAUAUAUUGAUCUUUUUGGGAGAGUUUUGGUGUUUCCGUUGAUGUGAUAUGAUUAUUUUGAAUUAAUUUUUAUUGUUAGUUGUGGUGGUAGGAAUAUCCCUAAAUGCGUAACUGGGGAUUUGGAGAUUAGUUUGUAUUUCUUAAAAUUGAAGUUCUUAUAUUAAGAUGAGCAGUAUUGGUGGCAGUUUGAAGGCCUAGAAUCCCUGGUUAUAAACAAUGUCAGAUGAAAAACUAAAUGAUAUUGUGGGGAGUGUGUGUACUAUGUCGCACCUGAAGUCCCCCAUAGAUCAUAUAGCCUAGAAGGAGAUAUAGGGAAUAUUUGUGUUAUCACAUACGAAGUAUAUAUUAUUAAUUUAUUAUUUGGAAGCAUGCCUUUCUGGCCACGGACAGAAUAUCAGGGAUUUUUCGUGCGGUGUUAAGAGAGGAUCCCAAUUUUGAUGAUUUGCCUUGGCCUUCUGUGUCUCCAGAAGCUAAGGGUUUUGUUAAAACAAUGCUUAACAAGGACUAGAGGAAGAGAAUGACUGCUGCCAAGCUUUGAGUAAGUUGGGAAACAUGAAGUUGGGAAACUAAUAUCAGGAUAGUAGAAGUUGGGAAACUAAAAUCAGAUUGAUAAGAUGUGCAUCUUUACUUGCGUUGUUGCUGUUGUUACUUUCUGGUUUUGCAUCCUGUUGAAUAUUUGUAGAGCUGUAACCUCCUUGUGCAAGUAUCCGUCUGUUUGGAGUUCUACUGAACAAUAAAAUGGUUACUCAUAUAUGCAAAAUAAAAUUAUGUACAAUUAAUCAAUAAUUGUACAACUCUUUUAUUCUGUACCACUCCAGCAGACAAUAUUCUAGCUCUUUGUCCUGUUUAAUAGCAUCAAUUAUCCAAAUCCUAUAUGUUUUACAAAAUUUAAGCAAUGCACCUGUUUCUUUAGCACUUGUGUGUGUUCUGAAGCCUAUAUUGCACGUUUGGACUCGCCAAGUGCAUGUUCGACAUGCUAGGGAGGACACAUACUUUUUUUAAUUAGUGUACAAAUAUUUGUAGAAUCUAUUUGCAAAUGAUGGAAAGAAGAAAAGUCACAAAGAAAAGUGUACAAAUAUUUGUGUACAAAGUCCAAGUCCAAGAUCGAUUUUUUAAUUAGUGUACAAAUAUUUGUAGAAUCUUGUUCACGAGGAGAAUUACAGAGAUUCUAAAAGGAAAUCCAAGAAGUUGGCAGGAAAAGACACAAUGCAGUUAUUAUGCACUCUUCUCCCAGUACAAUAAUAUGGUACUUCCUUCUAACUCAAUUUUUGUUUUGGUUUUUUAGUUUUCCAGCAAAGCUGUUGUUUGUCAAUUGGCUGAAACAAAUUCAAAGAUCGAUAUGUUGAACAAUAUAUAUCCCACAGAAGAGAUCAUGAAGGUGAUCCAAAGUAAUCUGCUAUGUUGCCGCAGGCUCUCCUGAAAUGCAAGUAUACUCAGCUAUACCAUCAGAGGGUAUCUCACCCAAUGAACUUCAGGAUGGCGAUUUUUGCCCGCCUUUAGGUCGUUGCCAUGUCAUGCAGCGCUGGCUUCUUUGGAUCCUUCUUUCGGAGAUUUUUGCCCGCCUUUAGGUCGUUGCCAUCUCCUGCAGCGCUGCGUUCUUUGGAUCCUUCUUUCGGAGGUUUUGCAGGGUUAUGUACCAAAUACCCAAUUGUUUACCUACCUUUGAUAAUCUGCCAGACCAUUGCAUAUGCCAAAUAUUAGGUUAUCAAGUUCAGUUCCUUAUAACAUUAGAUUGUCUAACAUCCAUUGUUAGCACGGAAACAAACAUCUGCUCCCCUAUGUCCAUACACUAAUUAGGCUCGGGCUUUGCUUAGCGCUUUGGUAAUUAACUUCUCUACCUUGUGAUGAUAAAUCAGUACAGCAAAUGUGAGGGAAUGUCUUGAUGGGAGGCUGCAAAUAUGGUUGUUGCGGAAGACAAAGGAAAGGGAUACAUAGAAGACAAGCUUGAGAAAUCAUGGGAUUUCUCCUCUACACAGAGUUCACUCCUUAACGUUUGAGAGUGUUUACAUGAUUCAAGUGUUCAAAGUGUUUCUAUUAGUGAUUUACAUGUUUUAGGUUGGGCCUUUUUUAUAAGCUUUACCAUCCUUUGUUAUGACAAUGUUGGUCAUCGGUUCUUGCGGUCUCUAUUCCACUCCCUAUUCCAUCCCUCACUCCCUUCAUUUCAUAAUUUAAGGCAUCUAUACCUUAUGAGAUUGGAUUUGAUCGUUCAUAUUAACAAAUACAUGAAAUCAUUGCUUAAUAUUCUACUAUUGAUAUAUUAGUAUUUGUAGGUAGUAUUCAUUAGUUCAUGUAUUGUUCGAAGUAAAUUCGCAAUUACACAUGUAGUUAACUUUUUCCA